ACAACUAAAUGUUUACUUUUGGUUCACACCGCUGUAGUAACGGCGGGUUGUGAUUAUUCACGUUUUUGGCAUUGUGUGUGAUGCGAUGGUCUGAACGCACAUUUAGGGCUCCAAACUAACCAAAACUCACGAGGGGGAGCGCUGACAUCGUUCACCAGCAGCUCACUGACGCCACCUGUGUGCAGGGGGUCCUAGCUGGGAAUGGAGGGGUCCGAUGCCUCCUGAGGCCUCCUGUACUCUGAAACAACUGGGUGAUUCAUCAGUCAAUGGUGGGAAAAUUAAUCAGCAAGAAUGUUGAUAAUUAAUAAACAUAAUUCACCAAUGAA
Long non-coding RNA from Micropterus dolomieu (smallmouth bass), 326 nucleotides. RefSeq lists it as uncharacterized. The record is from RefSeq and is a predicted model, not a curated record. NCBI's taxonomy places the organism in Eukaryota, Metazoa, Chordata, Actinopteri, Centrarchiformes, Centrarchidae. The transcript has 2 exons.